This is a long non-coding RNA of Notolabrus celidotus (New Zealand spotty), 830 nucleotides long. RefSeq lists it as uncharacterized. Lineage: Eukaryota; Metazoa; Chordata; Actinopteri; Labriformes; Labridae. The record is from RefSeq and is a predicted model, not a curated record. The transcript is spliced from 3 exons.
UCAAUGUCCGCGAGCUCAACCUUGUUCGAUAACAACAGACUAGUGUGGGGUGGUACCCCCAAUCCACCUUUAUGUCCUGAAACCUGAGGGAAAAGAAGGACCAACAUGCACUGUUCACCGCAACAACCUCCGGACCUGCCCUCUAAACAUGUUGCAGAAUGAACAGGAACCAGAGGAGCAGCUGAGAGGCCAAGAAACCAACAUGCCACCUGACCUUCCACCACCCACUUGGUGGCUCCCAAGUUUGAUAAAUACUACCCAGCAGCCCACAGGACCUGCACCAGGCCCAGCUCAGGCAAACCAAGGACCAGCAGCCCCCAACGGUGUGCCUCUUCGUCCCUCAUGAUGCAGUAAUUCGCACCAGACAGGUCUCCAUUUUGGAUGGACUUGUUUGGAGACCUGAGAGACUCUGGACUCUUCAAUGGCAGCCAUGAACACUAGUAUGUGCACCGCAUUCAACCAAGCAGACUUGCAUCAUGUCCAGGAGGGAUUAAGAAUGAACUGUAUCUCUUGCCUCACAGAUUUGGUUCAAGGGACUGUGGAUUCGCUGUUGAACACAGAGAACUGGAUGUGUUUUCUGAGGCAAGGCAAGUGAUUGAUUUAUGCAGUGAUCCAGACAUUGAGGAAUACCUACAACAGGCUGUGGACCGAAACAGACUACAACAUCCACAAGACUGGAAGACAGCCUCAGAACUUUACAUCACUCUGAAGGAAAUAGCUGAGCUAUAGACAUGGACUAUUGGAAAUCCUUCUUGUUUUUACUUGCUUAUUCAUUUUCUGAUGCAAUGUUUAUGUAAACAUCAAUUAAUAUUAAAAGGCAUUUGUUUGGA